Molecule: long non-coding RNA, 594 nt
Organism: Spea bombifrons (plains spadefoot toad)
Lineage: Eukaryota; Metazoa; Chordata; Amphibia; Anura; Pelobatidae
Exons: 2
Source: RefSeq, a predicted model, not a curated record
GUGUUCCCGCCCACACAAAGCCUUCCAGCGCCACCAUCAGAAAUGUUCAUGCAAAUUAGGUUGUAGACAGCCACCUUGUAAACAACCUAUCAUGUCAAUUAAUCCUCUUUUUCAUUGACACGUGAGGGAAGUAAAUACACAAGUGGGUAUUUAACAGAUAAGAGUUUACUGAAGCAUGCACCAAGUGCCAUUACACCUAAUCUCUUUGUAGAAAGUCACUGAUGGUGAUCUGCCUGCCACUGCAAACAAGCAUGGAUAAGCUAAUACAUGCUGAGAGUCAUCCAUACACUUUUUUCUGUUGACAUAUUAGUAGGUCCAUAAGGAUAUCAGCGGGUUGAUGUACAGCAGCUACCUACCUUGAAAAUAAUGCAUUAGUAUUCAAAGUAAGGAUGAACACCGAUGUGGAAUGGUAUAAAAACCCUCAACUGACACAUACACGGAAGGAAUUAUAAUUUAAGGACCAUACAGUUGCUGAUUGAUCACAUUGACUUGUGAUUUUAUAUCUACAGUAAAUGGCUCACUCAUGUUGAAGGUGAUGCUGAGCAUUAUUCUGCAAACUUUAAUAAACAGAAAUUUUAACCAUUUACAAUGAAA